This 1495-nucleotide long non-coding RNA is filed under the name Homo sapiens (human). Its description in RNAcentral is "HSALNT0388061". The record is from RNAcentral. Lineage: Eukaryota; Metazoa; Chordata; Mammalia; Primates; Hominidae.
AUUCUUGACAUCCCGGCCUUUGGGGAAGGGCCCCCAGGAUUCCUGAGAACCCUCCAGCUGUGUGCGGGGCAGAGGUGGGGGCCUCCACACCUCUGCUCAGGGCAGCCUGGAUGGCUGGACCAGCUCGUACCAUUGAAAAACUUGAUGAUGUCAGUGAAGUCCAUGUUGUUGUCACGGAUGAUCUCUCGCUUACGCAGCCCAGUCCCAUGUCCCGCCAUCCCUCACCAUUGUCGAGGGUGACCAGGAGAGGCGCCAGCAGAUCGCACAUGCCCUGCACAUAGCCCACGUCCAGGUGCUCCCACACGUAGCUGAAAGGCAGGGGGAGAGUCACUGUGGCUGUGCCCCAUUCUUCCCUCCCUCGGGAUCCCUGGGAAGACGUCCUCCAGAGCCACCUGCCGCCCAGAAGUCAGCCUUUCCACGACCCUAAGGCUUGACUGGAUGCCCGAGGCCACGGAGUAAUUGCGAGAGGAGGGCAGUCCUGAGUCUGGAGAGUCGAACUCCACGGAAUGCUGCUGCUCCACCACGGCGGUGCCCGGAGUCCCGGGUCCUGCUUCCUGCUCAGCCUCCAACACUGUGGCCACGGGGCACCAAGCCAGCUUCUGACCCAGCCAGCCAGGCGGAGAGAAACAAGCCUCUGGCCAAACAUGAAGACACGUCUUCAGCCCUGCUUGAAGGAACAGCCCCAGGUCUUCCUGUGGCUACUGAAGGGAAGUAGGGGAGCCAGGGGGCUGAACGCUCAAUGGCCAGUUUGAACUCAGUCUCAUUCUAGAAACGCCUGAAGUCAUGAGACCGGGAGAAUGGCCUUAGUGUUUUGGUGUGGCUGGGUGGAGAGAAGCCUAGAGGUUUUAGGAAAAACAAGUUUUGCCUUAUUUUCAGUACUGAGUGUUCAGCAGGACAAGACAGGAACGUUCUGUAGCAAGCACCUAGUCAGUUCCAUUAGCCCUCAGGCAAGGUGGGGAGAUGUAGGAAGGAAAAGCAAACAUUCUGCCUCCUAGAUACAGUCCACCACCAUGGACAAGGCACGAGGAAAAGAAGAGACACAUACAGAGACUGUUUGGGAUUUUUCUCUCUCUGUUUUCACCACGUAGGGAAAGCAAUGCUAAAAGUAGUUUCUACUUUGGGCAGGAAGCAUGAAGUGCUGGGUAAGGCCACGGUUCUGUGGCAAUCUAAUACGCCAGCGAGGAGCUACUGCUGUCCAUGAGCUCAGCAGCUGGGCACUGGCACAGACAGAUUUUUACAAAACCCAAAGCCAGAGAGAGGGAGAAUGUGUUCCUGGAUAGGGGAUUAAGAACAAAGCACGUGGGAAAUGACAAUGUGCCUUGUUUGUUCUAUUUCUUUUUUUUUAUUUUAUUUCUGAGGCAGGGUGUCUCACUCUAUGGCCCAGGCUAGAGUACAGUGGUGGUAUCACGGCUCACUGCAGCCUCAACCUCCAUGGCUCAGGUGAUUCUCCCGCCUCAGCCUCCCGAGUAGCUGAGACUACAGGCACACACCACCA